RNAcentral lists this long non-coding RNA (1053 nucleotides) under Gadus morhua (Atlantic cod). RNAcentral's name for it is "lncRNA (ENSGMOG00000035686.1)". The record is from RNAcentral. Lineage: Eukaryota; Metazoa; Chordata; Actinopteri; Gadiformes; Gadidae.
AUGGCUGCUGUUAACACCGUUGCUAACAACCACAAAACCAUCCAGGUGGCGGGUAGUAGCUCUACAUCUCUCCCUAACGACCUCAACUCCUUUUUCACCAGGUUUGAGACUGACAACUCCACCCAACUGGCAAAUACAUUAACAACACUGAAACCUGGUGACUCCACACUCACCUUUAAAACAGAGGAGGUGGUCAGAGCCCUCAGGAAGACCAGGGAGAACAGCUCUCCUGGCCCAGACAACAUCAGUGGCCGCGUCCUGAGGUUCUGUGCUGAGCAGCUGGAGGGAGUGUUCCAAACCCUGUUUCAGAGAUCCAUGGACACCAGCACAGUCCCCCAGCUGUGGAAGCACUCUAUAGUCAUCCCCAUCCCAAAGAAAAGCACCAUCAACACUCUGAACGACCUCAGGCCUGUGGCCCUCACAUCCCUGGUGAUGAAGGCCAUGGAGAGGGUCGUUAAAAAACACAUCCUCACUGUAACCGACACCCUGAUGGACUCACUACAGUAUGCUUACCGCGCAGGCAGAGGUGUGGACGACGCAAAAGCAUUCAUCAUUGACACUGUACACAAACAUCUAGAGCGGCCCAACACAUUAGCCAGACACUUGUUUAUAGACUUCUCUUCUGCAUUCAAUACACUACAGCCCCACAUCCUGGCAAACAAACUCACCUCCUACUUCCAUCUAGACGACCAGCUCAUCCGGUGGAUACUGGACUUUCUAACCGACAGGUCACAGAGAGUCCGGGUCAACAACACCUUCUCCGACCUCCGACACACCUCGACGGGCUCCCCUCAGGACUGUGUGCUCUCACCUCUGCUCUUCAUCCUCUAUACAGAUGACUGCAGAUCCACACAGCCUCAGUGUCACCUGGUGAAGUACGCAGACGACACAGUUCUCCUGUCCCUGCUCUCAGGUCCUUCACAGCAGCAUGGAUCAGCUCUCCAGGAGUUUGUGGAGUGGUGCGACAGCUCAUGCCUUGAGAUGAACGUGAGUAAGACCAAAGAGAUGGUGGUGACCUUUUCUAAGAGUGUGACGACCCUGGUGAGUCUUUGA